RNAcentral lists this long non-coding RNA (211 nucleotides) under Mytilus galloprovincialis (Mediterranean mussel). The record is from RNAcentral. Lineage: Eukaryota; Metazoa; Mollusca; Bivalvia; Mytilida; Mytilidae.
AAAAAGAAGCAUUCAAUACUUAUAAUUACAUUUUUUAGCAAUGAUCAUGAAAACACGAAUUUUAUUAUUGUUUUAUUUAAUUCACCUGUUAAUCCCUUUAUUAUGGGACCACGUGUUAUCAUGAAUGAAAAGUUUUAUUGAGCAAUGCAAUUGCUUACGGAAUAACACGUGAUGUGCAGUUAGCCAAUCAGAAUAGAGUAUCAUAAUGAAA